UACAGAGGCCCCGAGCGUUAAUCGGAAUCACUGGGCUUAAAGGGUGCGUAGGCGGGCGGUUAAGUGUCUUGUGAAAGCCCUCGGCUCAACCGGGGAACUGCAGGGCAUACUGAUCGUCUUGAGGAAGGUAGAGGCUGGUAGAACGAUAGGUGGAGCGGUGGAAUGCGUAGAGAUCUAUCGGAAUGCCGAAGGUGAAGACAGCCAGCUGGGCCUUUCCUGACGCUGAGGCACGAAAGCGUGGGGAGCAAACCGG
Molecule: unclassified non-coding RNA, 253 nt
Filed under: uncultured Phycisphaeraceae bacterium
Lineage: Bacteria; Pseudomonadati; Planctomycetota; Phycisphaerae; Phycisphaerales; Phycisphaeraceae
Description: contains 16S-23S intergenic spacer region
Rfam family: Bacterial small subunit ribosomal RNA
Source: RNAcentral